CCUACGGGAGGCAGCAGUGGGGGAUAUUGGACAAUGGGGGGAACCCUGAUCCAGCGACGCCGCGUGAGUGAAGAAGUAUUUCGGUAUGUAAAGCUCUGUCAGCAGGGAAGAAAGAAAUGACGGUACCUGACCAAGACGCCCCGGCUAACUACGUGCCAGCAGCCGCGGUAAUACGGAGGGGGCAAGCGUUAUCCGGAAUUACUGGGUGUAAAGGGAGCGUAGGCGGUUAAGUAAGUCUGGAGUGAAAGGCCGGGGCCCAACCCCGGGCAUGAUCUGGAAACUAUUGAACUUGAGUGCAGGGGAGGUAAGCGGAAUUCGUAGUGUAGCGGUGAAAUGCGUAGAUAUUAGGAGGAACACCAGUUGCGAAGGCGGCUUACUGGAGCGGAACUGACGUUGAGGCUCGAAAGCGCGGGGAGCAAACAGGAUUAGAUACCCUGGUAGUC
RNAcentral lists this ribosomal RNA (443 nucleotides) under uncultured bacterium. RNAcentral's name for it is "partial 16S ribosomal RNA". It matches the Rfam family "Bacterial small subunit ribosomal RNA", at positions 338 to 795 of the family's 1533-position model. The record is from RNAcentral.